This 253-nucleotide ribosomal RNA is filed under the name uncultured bacterium. RNAcentral's name for it is "partial 16S ribosomal RNA". It matches the Rfam family "Bacterial small subunit ribosomal RNA", at positions 524 to 776 of the family's 1533-position model. The record is from RNAcentral.
UACGGAGGGAGCUAGCGUUGUUCGGAAUUACUGGGCGUAAAGCGCGCGUAGGCGGCUUUGUAAGUUAGAGGUGAAAGCCCGGAGCUCAACUCCGGAACUGCCUUUAAAACUGCAUCGCUUGAAUCCAGGAGAGGUGAGUGGAAUUCCGAGUGUAGGGGUGAAAUUCGUAGAUAUUCGGAAGAACACCAGUGGCGAAGGCGGCUCACUGGCCCGGUACUGACGCUGAGGUGCGAAAGCGUGGGGAGCAAACAGG